Molecule: ribosomal RNA, 450 nt
Filed under: uncultured Glomus
Lineage: Eukaryota; Fungi; Glomeromycota; Glomeromycetes; Glomerales; Glomeraceae
Description: SSU rRNA
Rfam family: Eukaryotic small subunit ribosomal RNA
Source: RNAcentral
AGCAGCCGCGGUAAUUCCAGCUCCAAUAGCGUAUAUUAAAGUUGUUGCAGUUAAAAAGCUCGUAGUUGAAUUUCGGGAUCAAUAUAUUGGUCAUGCUUAGGUAUGUACUGGUAUUAUUGAUUUCUCCCUUCUGAAGAACCAUAAUGUCAUUAAUUUGAUGUCGUGGGGAAUCAGGACUGUUACUUUGAAAAAUUAGAGUGUUUAAAGCAGGCUUUCGCUUGAAUACAUUAGCAUGGAAUAAUGAAAUAGGACGUUUGAUUCUAUUUUGUUGGUUUCUAGGAUCGACGUAAUGAUUAAUAGGGAUAGUUGGGGGCAUUAGUAUUCAAUUGUCAGAGGUGAAAUUCUUGGAUUUAUUGAAGACUAACUACUGCGAAAGCAUUUGCCAAGGAUGUUUUCAUUAAUCAAGAACGAAAGUUAGGGGAUCGAAGACGAUCAGAUACCGUCGUAGUC